This 784-nucleotide ribosomal RNA is filed under the name uncultured Glomus. RNAcentral's name for it is "SSU rRNA". It matches the Rfam family "Eukaryotic small subunit ribosomal RNA", at positions 328 to 1114 of the family's 1831-position model. Lineage: Eukaryota; Fungi; Glomeromycota; Glomeromycetes; Glomerales; Glomeraceae. The record is from RNAcentral.
GUAGGAUAGAGGCCUACCAUGGUGGUAACGGGUAACGGGGUGUUAGGGCACGACACCGGAGAGGGAGCCUGAGAAACGGCUACCACAUCCAAGGAUGGCAGCAGGCGCGCAAAUUACCCAAUCCCGACACGGGGAGGUAGUGACAAUAAAUAACAAUACGGGGUUCUUUCGGAUUUCGUAAUUGGAAUGAGUACAAUUUAAAUCUCUUAACGAGGAACAAUUGGAGGGCAAGUCUGGUGCCAGCAGCCGCGGUAAUUCCAGCUCCAAUAGCGUAUAUUAAAGUUGCUGCAGUUAAAAAGCUCGUAGUUGAAUUUCGGGACCAUCAUGUCGGUCGUGCCUCGGUACGUACUGGCAUUGUUGGUUUCUCCCUUCUGACGAACCAUGAUGUCAUUUGUUUGGUGUUGUGGGGAAUCAGGACUGUUACUUUGAAAAAAUUAGAGUGUUUAAAGCAGGCUCACGCUUGAAUACAUUAGCAUGGAAUAAUGAAAUAGGACGUUUGAUUCUAUUUUGUUGGUUUCUAGGAUCGACGUAAUGAUUAAUAGGGAUAGUUGGGGGCAUUAGUAUUCAAUUGUCAGAGGUGAAAUUCUUGGAUUUAUUGAAGACUAACUACUGCGAAAGCAUUUGCCAAGGAUGUUUUCAUUAAUCAAGAACGAAAGUUAGGGGAUCGAAGACGAUCAGAUACCGUCGUAGUCUUAACCAUAAACUAUGCCGACUAGGGAUCGGAUGAUGUUAAUUUUUUAAUGACUCAUUCGGCGCCUUACGGGAAACCAAAGUGUUUGGGUUC